UUAAAGCGCCCAACUCAUAAUUGGUAAAUUUGCGGGUUCAAUUCCUGCUGGAUGCACGCGAACGGGAACGUUCC
Molecule: transfer RNA, 74 nt
Filed under: Yushania confusa
Lineage: Eukaryota; Viridiplantae; Streptophyta; Magnoliopsida; Poales; Poaceae
Description: tRNA-Ile
Rfam family: tRNA (bases 1-56)
About the family: Transfer RNA (tRNA) molecules are approximately 80 nucleotides in length. Their secondary structure includes four short double-helical elements and three loops (D, anti-codon, and T loops).
Source: RNAcentral